Molecule: long non-coding RNA, 1306 nt
Organism: Cercocebus atys (sooty mangabey)
Lineage: Eukaryota; Metazoa; Chordata; Mammalia; Primates; Cercopithecidae
Exons: 3
Source: RefSeq, a predicted model, not a curated record
CAGAACAAACAAACAAACACACAAACAAAAAGGAUCUGUCUGUGUAUGUUAAGCGGCUGAGUUGGGAGCUGAGAGACUAGGGAAGGGAGGAGGAGGCUGGCUGGUGCUGUGACCCACAUGAGAAGGAAUGAGUUCUGAGCUAGGGGACGAGGCUUUAGAGACGGAGACACCUUGAGAGUGAUUAUAUGGGAAUCCUCAGAUCGCUCUCUCUCUCUCUUUUAAUGCACGAGUGCCUGGUUUUAAUUCCCUGAUGAACUUCAGAGCUGCAGAAGAACUUCAGAGUGGGAAAAUAAUACUAGCAGCCGUUCCCAGGUGUCCCAUAUUGUCUGUGCAAAGGCAUUAUGCUUGGUCCUUUCAUACAUGAUUUUAUUUCAUCACCCUGAGCGGUAACAGAAUCAUUCCUGUUUUACAAGUGACAAUAUGAAACUGACUAAGAGUUCACAGCUCUAGGGCACGCUGGUAGCGUUGGACUGAGACUACAGUCCUCCCGACAUGCCAACAUCCCUCAACCCAAGGAGAUCCGUUUUCCGUUCCCGCCUUCGGAGGCCAGCGGCCCGCCCCACACUGCAUCUCGCUCCUGACGGCCCGUCUAGCCGCCCCGCGUCUCUAGUGUUUUCCCUUCUUGCCCAUCUACCCGCAGGCUUCCUCUCGUCUGCACUCUCACACUGGCCCCUCUACCCGCUCGCCUCUCUAUGGUUCCCCCAUCUCCCCAGGCCCAGCCGUCCGCCUUGUUAAAACUUCUCCUUCUCUAAGCUCCUCAGCAUUGGAGCCAGCGGGUCCUAGGCGGGUUGGGUCGGCUAUCCGGGCUGCCUCUCUGGUCCAGCCGAGAGGAAACGGCGGCCAGUGUGAGUGCUUUUAGGAAAGGCCCGGGCCGUGACUGGGGAGAGUCCCUGGGAAAAAGGAGCGCGUUUCGGGCCCUUUGCGAAAACGCUCCGGCUGGAAACACAAGGCUCCGAGAGGAAGGAGCCGCUCUCCGCUCUGACCCACCCCACCCCCUUCACGCUGGGAACCAACGGGGAGAUCGGGACGUGCCCACCUCAUCACACAGACGAAAACCUCAGGCGCCAGAAUGGGGAGGAACUCGCUCAGAACCAGCCAGGAGCCAGCUGGGGCUCCCGACUCUCGGUUCUGGGAACCUCCGUGUUUUUCUGUUUGAAGAUAGGCGGGAUCGAACAGGAAGGUUUGAGGAGGAUCUCUGAGGAUUACUAUUGGCGUAGGACUUCAGACGGCCAUUGUUACCAGCUACUUAUUCAUCUCUGUAUUCAUUUCACAUUCAAUACACUUAUGUGUUGAUUCACUAAUUCAA